CCUACGGGGUGCAGCAGUGAGGAAUAUUGGUCAAUGGCCGGAAGGCUGAACCAGCCAAGCCGCGUGAGGGAGGAAGGCGCAGAGCGUCGCAGACCUCUUUUGCCGGGGGACAAAAGGCCGGACUCGUCCGGUCCUGAGGGUACCCGGAGAAAAAGCAUCGGCUAACUCCGUGCCAGCAGCCGCGGUAAUACGGAGGAUGCGAGCGUUAUCCGGAUUCAUUGGGUUUAAAGGGUGCGCAGGCGGGCCUUUAAGCCGGCGGUGAAAUCGCGGGGCUCAACUUCGGAAUUGCCUCUGAUACUGUUCGGCUAGAGAGUAGUUGCGGUAGGCGGAAUGUAUGGUGUAGCGGUGAAAUGCUUAGAGAUCAUACAGAACACCGAUUGCGAAGGCAGCUUACCAAGCUACUUCUGACGUUGAGGCACGAAAGCGUGGGGAGCAAACAGGAUUAGAUACCCCAGUAGUC
Molecule: ribosomal RNA, 460 nt
Filed under: uncultured bacterium
Lineage: Bacteria
Description: partial 16S ribosomal RNA
Rfam family: Bacterial small subunit ribosomal RNA
Source: RNAcentral